GACGAACCGUACGAACGUUAUUCGGAAUUACUGGGCUUAAAGGGUUUGUAGGCGGCCUUGUAAGUCAGGUGUGAAAUCCCUCGGCUCAACCGAGGAAUGGCGCUUGAUACUGCAAGGCUUGAGGGAGACAGGGGUAAGCGGAACUGAUGGUGGAGCGGUGAAAUGCGUUGAUAUCAUCAGGAACACCGGUGGCGAAGGCGGCAUCCUGGACCGGUAUUGACGCUGAGGCGCGAAAGCUAGGGUAGCAAACGGG
This 253-nucleotide ribosomal RNA is filed under the name uncultured bacterium. RNAcentral's name for it is "partial 16S ribosomal RNA". It matches the Rfam family "Bacterial small subunit ribosomal RNA", at positions 524 to 776 of the family's 1533-position model. The record is from RNAcentral.